Molecule: ribosomal RNA, 467 nt
Filed under: uncultured bacterium
Lineage: Bacteria
Description: partial 16S ribosomal RNA
Rfam family: Bacterial small subunit ribosomal RNA
Source: RNAcentral
GAUGAACGCUGGCGGCGUGCUUAACACAUGCAAGUCGAACGGAAAGGCUCCUGCUUGCAGGGGUACUCGAGUGGCGAACGGGUGAGUAACACGUGGGUGAUCUGCCCUGCACUUCGGGAUAAGCCUGGGAAACUGGGUCUAAUACCGGAUAGGACCACAUUUUGGAUGGUGUGGUGGAAAGUUUUUCGGUGUGGGAUGAGCUCGCGGCCUAUCAGCUUGUUGGUGGGGUAAUGGCCUACCAAGGCGUCGACGGGUAGCCGGCCUGAGAGGGUGUACGGCCACAUUGGGACUGAGAUACGGGCCAGACUCCUACGGGAGGCAGCAGUGGGGAAUAUUGCACAAUGGGAGCAAGCCUGAUGCAGCGACGCCGCGUGGGGGAUGACGGCCUUCGGGUUGUAAACUCCUUUCGCUAGGGACGAAGCGUUUUUGUGACGGUACCUGGAGAAGAAGCACCGGCUAACUACGUG